This is a long non-coding RNA of Papaver somniferum (opium poppy), 1645 nucleotides long. RefSeq lists it as uncharacterized. The record is from RefSeq and is a predicted model, not a curated record. Lineage: Eukaryota; Viridiplantae; Streptophyta; Magnoliopsida; Ranunculales; Papaveraceae. The transcript is spliced from 2 exons.
UUUUCUCUAAGUUCACCUUGCAGUUUCCAUCUUUGAUCUCCAACUCCAAGAUCCAAUUUCUCCUCCUCCGAUUGAACUUUCUUCUCUGAUUUUGUAGUCAAUUUUCUUUCUCAUACAUACUAUCAUAUCCAAAACUCACUUUUUGUAAACAAAGCAAGUCUUCAAAAUGGUGUAUGAAUGGAAUCUUGGUUUUGUAUGGGAACCUAACAACAUAUAUCUUGGAGGAAUCGGAUCUUUCUCAAAGCAUAGCAUGAUGAUAUUUUCUCUCAAAUAGACAUGGUGACAUAUCAGACGAGUACUAUAACCUGGCCGUAAGCGGAAUUGGGAAGUCUUCGUGAGAAACGUUUAAGUACCGUAGGACAAUCAGUUUUCCGAUGUGUUACUUAUAACAUCUGACCAACCAACUUCCUAAGCUCCUGAAAAUCUUCUCAUGAGAAACAUUCCAGCACAGAACCACCACCCAGUUCUAGCAUUUAGAAGACAAAAACCAGCUUACAAUCUAGCAAGUCAAUAAAUAGAUUAACAACAAACAUGAUAUUUCCUCUCGAAUUAGAUUGAGUUUCAGGUUCAAUUUAUGUUUCAAGAUGAAAGUAUUGGUUUUGUAAUUAUUGGAUGCACAUAUUGGAGUAAAUAAUAUCAUGACAUGUGGAUCUGCAGAGGCACGGUUGGAAGCUAGCCGAGUAGUGACUUGAAGAAGUUAAGGAACUUGGGAAGUCGAGCAGACAAACAUUCUUGGAAGGAAUUUGUCAUCCCUGCUGCUGCCAAUGUUGGAGCAGGAAAUUUAGUUGGCAAUUACUUCAUAUCCCCCCAGAUCAAAUCCAGCACAUCACUUCCCUGCAAACUCCAGUGAUAAGGAAAUUUUAAAUCUCUGGUGGCAUUUUAAGGCUAGUUGGGCAAUUUGGCUUGUCUAGGUUCGAAGGAAGAUACACUUAGAUUGUCAGAGUUAGAUAUGAUUAAGAUUCAAGACAAGCCAAAUAGCAGGAGGAAAGGAUUUUCAAUAUGUGGAGUUCGUUUGUGGUUCUGAUCCGCAACUACUGAGUUAAGUUUCUCAAGAAGGAUAUGUCAGAGCAAAAGUGGAUUAGAUCAAUGAAGGAUUUUACCUUUGUUCCUUCUUCAUCAUUGAUAUGCCAGAAACUUCUCUUCAGAGUAUAUCUGGAGCUUUAUGUUCAUCCAUUAUCCAGCAGUAUGCUGUAUGCUGCAAACGUUCACAUUUCUAUGCCUUGGAUUAUAUCUGUUAAAUGAGUUUUGAAGUUGGCAACAAACUGCAAAAAGCAAUUUGGGAAAUCUCAAUAUGGAAUGCAAAUAGAAAGGCAAUUCUGCUAGAGUGGAAAUGAGAACUUGUCAGUGUUACUCAUAUUUGUUCAGAGGGUACUUUCAUCAAGGGAACUAGCACGACAGUACAGUAAAUAUGCUAACUUCUGCUGUCUUUGUAGCAGACUAGCAGUGCUGUAAGACUUCGCCAGGCAAGUAGAUUGCGGAUAAAUGCAGUAAUCUCCUUAAUCAAACUGUACAGUGCAGCAUCUUCUGUAGCUAGUGCAAUCAUCAUAAUAUAGCCAAUGUUUACAUCGAGCAGAUUUUACUAGCUGUAAAACUGUAAAAAAUAAAGAACUAUAACAAGAUAGUAAUAGCAUAUUUUUAUUCCGAA